This 459-nucleotide ribosomal RNA is filed under the name uncultured bacterium. RNAcentral describes it as "partial 16S ribosomal RNA". It matches the Rfam family "Bacterial small subunit ribosomal RNA", at positions 338 to 795 of the family's 1533-position model. The record is from RNAcentral.
CCUACGGGUGGCAGCAGUGAGGAAUAUUGGUCAAUGGCCGGAAGGCUGAACCAGCCAAGCCGCGUGAAGGACGACGGUGCCAAGCAUUGUAAACCUCUUUUGUCAAGGGACAAAAUCAGGCACGAGAGCCUGACCGAGGGUACUUGAAGAAAAAGCAUAGGCGAACUCCGUGCCAGCAGUCGCGGUAAUACGGAGGAUGCGAGCGUUAUCCGGAUUUAUUGGGUUUAAAGGGUGCGUAGGCGGGCUGUUAAGUCAGCGGUAAAAGUCCGGGGCUCAACCCCGGCUAGCCGUUGAAACUGGCUGUCUUGAGUGGUCGAGAGGUAUGCGGAAUGCGAGGUGUAGCGGUGAAAUGCUUAGAUAUUGCGCAGAACUCCGAUUGCGAAGGCAGCAUACCGGCGGCGAUCUGACGCUGAGGCACGAAAGCGUGGGUAUCGAACAGGAUUAGAUACCCUAGUAGUC